CUAAUAUCUCAAAGACUAGUUGAUAAAAUGUUCAUAAGAAAGAAAUGAAAUUCUAAUGGAAAUGUUUCACAAUGAUGUUAAUAGGCAGAGCAGGCAACAGAUGGCACACAGACAGCAGAGUUGGGGACAGAUAUGCAGGGACAGACUGGCAGAGACAUGGGAGUCUCAGAUAUGGUAAUGAAGUUACCCUUCUGUACAGCUCGAUUCUCUCUGUAGCUGCUCAGAGUUCUCCUUUUCUCUCUCUCCACCUUCCUCGCCGCAGCUGUGACUUGUGAAGGGGGCCAGCCCAGCCGUAUAUUCAGGCUGCUUUUAAUUGUCCAUUGGGCUACAGAAUGAGGUUCGAGGAGAGAGGUUUACAGAGGAGGCUGGAGAAUUUAAGAAAGGACCAGAAUUAUGAAUGUUCAGACUGGAGCUUUCUGACAAUUCAUUAAAAAGCUCCCCUGGGAGAAGCCUCAGCGGUCUGGAGAGAAUUAUACUGCCUGUUACGGCAGGGACUGAGAGAUUGCCACUCCAUGGCCACCCCACUCUCAGGGACACUGCUCAUCUGGCAAGGGCUGAAUGUUGCUCAUCAUGUCUCAGAGAUCUAUCACAGAGCUCCUUCAGACUCUGCUGCUGAAGUUACAAUCCUCUGUCCUUAUUUCAUUUCCAGACAUUGAACAAGUAGGUCAAGACUGGAUGUUGAAAAAGUCAACUGUCGUGAGUGAGCAUUUCCAUGAAGUUUGAAUAUAGAGAUGGAGAUAUCUGUGAUAAAAUCUGACCUCUGGCACUUUCCCAGUGAAUUAGUCAAAUGAGUAACUGUUAGGGUAUCAUUAUUUUGGAUUUGGCUGCUGCUGAGAACAGUACGUGAUGAACUCCUUAGAGUGAAUUAUUUUGUAUAGAUCUUUAUUGAGGACCUGAUAUUACGAAAAGGCUACAAUUUGUGGUGACGAUGAUGACACAUGAACUUGACAUGUUCUGACUGUUGACCAAUAAUGUCACGACUUCGGCCGAAGUCGGGUCCUCUCCUUGUUCGGGCGGUGCUCGGUGCUCGGCGUCGCCGGUCUUCUAGCCAUCAUCGAUCCACUUUUCAUUUUCCAUAUGUUUUGUCUUGUUUUUCCUCACACCUGGUUUCAAUUCCCUCAAUCACUUGUUGUGUAUUUAACCCUCUGUUCCCCCCAUGUCUUUGUGUGGAAUUGUUCAUUGUAAGUGCACGUGUUGAUUGGUGCGCGACGGGUUUUUGUACCCAAUUCUUGUUAUUUUUAUGCCGUUGGUUUUGUUAUUGAACUGCUCUGGCUAUUAUCAAGUUCUGCUCUCCUGCGUCUGACUUCCCUGCCACCGGUUACGCACCCCUCACAAAUAUCCUUCCAUAACACACACACACACACACUCAC
Molecule: long non-coding RNA, 1370 nt
Filed under: Salmo salar (Atlantic salmon)
Lineage: Eukaryota; Metazoa; Chordata; Actinopteri; Salmoniformes; Salmonidae
Description: lncRNA (ENSSSAG00000104498.1)
Source: RNAcentral